GACGAACGCUGGCGGCGUGCUUAACGCAUGCAAGUCGAACGGAAAGGCCCUGCUUUUGUGGGGUGCUCGAGUGGCGAACGGGUGAGUAACACGUGAGUAACCUGCCCUUGACUUCGGGAUAACUUCAGGAAACUGGGGCUAAUACCGGAUAGGAGCUCCUGCUGCAUGGUGGGGGUUGGAAAGUUUCGGCGGUUGGGGAUGGACUCGCGGCUUAUCAGCUUGUUGGUGGGGUAGUGGCUUACCAAGGCUUUGACGGGUAGCCGGCCUGAGAGGGUGACCGGCCACAUUGGGACUGAGAUACGGCCCAGACUCCUACGGGAGGCAGCAGUGGGGAAUAUUGCACAAUGGGCGGAAGCCUGAGGCAGCAACGCCGCGUGCGGGAUGACGGCCUUCGGGUUGUAAACCGCUUUCGCCUGUGACGAAGCGUGAGUGACGGUAAUGGGUAAAGAAGCACCGGCUAACUACGUG
RNAcentral lists this ribosomal RNA (468 nucleotides) under uncultured bacterium. Its description in RNAcentral is "partial 16S ribosomal RNA". It matches the Rfam family "Bacterial small subunit ribosomal RNA", at positions 28 to 507 of the family's 1533-position model. The record is from RNAcentral.